Molecule: ribosomal RNA, 432 nt
Filed under: uncultured bacterium
Lineage: Bacteria
Description: SSU rRNA
Rfam family: Bacterial small subunit ribosomal RNA
Source: RNAcentral
GAAUUCGGCUUAGAGUUUGAUCCUGGCUCAGAACGAACGCUGGCGGCAGGCUUAACACAUGCAAGUCGAACGCCCCGCAAGGGGAGUGGCAGACGGGUGAGUAACGCGUGGGAACGUACCCUUUACUACGGAAUAACUCAGGGAAACUUGUGCUAAUACCGUAUGUGCCCUUAGGGGGAAAGAUUUAUCGGGGUUUGAUGAGCCCGCGUUGGAUUAGCUAGUUGGUGGGGUAAAGGCCUACCAAGGCGACGAUCCAUAGCUGGUCUGAGAGGAUGAUCAGCCACAUUGGGACUGAGACACGGCCCAAACUCCUACGGGAGGCAGCAGUGGGGAAUAUUGGACAAUGGGCGCAAGCCUGAUCCAGCCAUGCCGCGUGAGUGAUGAAGGUCUUAGGAUUGUAAAGCUCUUUCACCGGAGAAGAUAAUGACGGUA